This 293-nucleotide ribosomal RNA is filed under the name uncultured eukaryote. Its description in RNAcentral is "partial 18S ribosomal RNA". It matches the Rfam family "Eukaryotic small subunit ribosomal RNA", at positions 6 to 248 of the family's 1831-position model. The record is from RNAcentral.
GGUUGAUCCUGCCAGUUGUCAUAUGCUUGUUUCAAGGACUAAGCCAUGCAAAUGUCAGAGUACUUGUACUUCGGUACAGGGGGGUCUGUGUACGGCUCAUUAAACGGUUUAUGAUCUACCCAACGAAGGAAGGACUUGUGCCUUUCCAACGGGAUAACUGCGCUAACCGCGCGGCUAAUACCUGGGAGAAGAUUCCGCGAUCACUCCACCAUAAGUUUUGGGUGACUGAGACUUAUGGGAUCUCGGAAGCUGUUGGCCGAAACAAAGAUUGACGUCUUCGGACAGUUUCAAUU